Molecule: ribosomal RNA, 431 nt
Filed under: uncultured bacterium
Lineage: Bacteria
Description: partial 16S ribosomal RNA
Rfam family: Bacterial small subunit ribosomal RNA
Source: RNAcentral
AACGAACGCUGGCGGCAGGCUUAACACAUGCAAGUCGAGCGCCCCCCCAGGGGGGCGGCAGUCGGGUGAGUACCGCGUGGGAACGUACCUUUUGGUUCGGCACAACCUCGGGUUACUGGGGCUAAAACCGGGUAAGACUUAACGGGGAAAGAUGUAAUGCCUAAAGAUCGGACCGAGGCGUAUUCGCUAGUUGGGGGGGUAAAGGAGCACGAAGGGGAUGAUCUGUAGCUGGGCAGAGAGGAUGAGCAGCGACACUGAGAGUGGGACGCGGGGCAGAAUCCUAGGGGAGGCGGGAGAGGGGAAUAUUGGACAACGGGCUCAAUGCUGAUCCAGCCAUGCCGCGUAAGUGAUGAAGGCCUGAGAGUUGUAAAGCUCUUUUGUCCGGGAAGGUAAUGACGGUACCGGAAGAAUAAGCCCCGGCUAACUUCGUG